UACAGAGGGGGCCAGCGUUAUUCGGAAUUACUGGGCGUAAAGCGUGCGCAGGCGGUGCGCCAAGCUCGAUGUGAAAGCCCCGGGCUUAACCUGGGAAUUGCAUUGAGGACUGGCGUGCUCGAGUGCGGCAGAGGGGGGUGGAAUUCCACGUGUAGCAGUGAAAUGCGUAGAGAUGUGGAGGAACACCGAUGGCGAAGGCAGCCCCCUGGGCCGACACUGACGCUCAUGCACGAAAGCGUGGGGAGCAAACAGG
RNAcentral lists this ribosomal RNA (253 nucleotides) under uncultured bacterium. RNAcentral's name for it is "partial 16S ribosomal RNA". It matches the Rfam family "Bacterial small subunit ribosomal RNA", at positions 524 to 776 of the family's 1533-position model. The record is from RNAcentral.